CAAGGUUUCCGUAGGUGAACUGCGGAAGGAUCAUUG
This 36-nucleotide ribosomal RNA is filed under the name Eucalyptus apothalassica. RNAcentral describes it as "partial 18S ribosomal RNA". The record is from RNAcentral. RNAcentral also lists the same sequence under 3 other names. Lineage: Eukaryota; Viridiplantae; Streptophyta; Magnoliopsida; Myrtales; Myrtaceae.